RNAcentral lists this ribosomal RNA (433 nucleotides) under uncultured bacterium. Its description in RNAcentral is "partial 16S ribosomal RNA". It matches the Rfam family "Bacterial small subunit ribosomal RNA", at positions 29 to 507 of the family's 1533-position model. The record is from RNAcentral.
AACGAACGCUGGCGGCAUGCCUAACACAUGCAAGUCGAACGAGACCUUCGGGUCUAGUGGCUCACGGGUGCGUAACGCGUUGGAACCUGCCCUUAGGUUCGGAAUAACUCCCCGAAAUGGGUGCUAAUACCGGAUAAUGUCUUCGGACCAAAGAUUUAUCGCCUUUGGAUGGGCCCGCGUUGGAUUAGCUAGUUGGUAGGGUAAAAGCCUACCAAGGCGACGAUCCAUAGCUGGUCUGAGAGGAUGAUCAGCCACACUGGGACUGAGACACGGCCCAGACUCCUACGGGAGGCAGCAGUGGGGAAUAUUGGACAAUGGGCGAAAGCCUGAGACAGCAAUGCCGGGUGAGUGAUGAAGGCCUUAGGGUUGUAAAGCUCUUUUACCCGGGAUGAUAAUGACAGUACCGGGAGAAUAAGCUCCGGCUAACUACGUG